CAGCAGCCGCGGUAAUACAGAGGGUGCGAGCGUUAAUCGGAUUUACUGGGCGUAAAGCGUGCGUAGGCGGCUUUUUAAGUCGGAUGUGAAAUCCCUGAGCUUAACUUAGGAAUUGCAUUCGAUACUGGGAAGCUAGAGUAUGGGAGAGGAUGGUAGAAUUCCAGGUGUAGCGGUGAAAUGCGUAGAGAUCGGGAGGAACAUCAGUGGCGAAGGCGGCCAUCUGGGACAACACUGACGCUGAGGCACGAAAGCGUGGGGAGCAAACAGGAUUAGAUACCCGUGUAGUCCCUGUCUCUUAUAC
Molecule: ribosomal RNA, 301 nt
Filed under: uncultured bacterium
Lineage: Bacteria
Description: partial 16S ribosomal RNA
Rfam family: Bacterial small subunit ribosomal RNA
Source: RNAcentral